Molecule: long non-coding RNA, 1627 nt
Organism: Podarcis muralis (Common wall lizard)
Lineage: Eukaryota; Metazoa; Chordata; Lepidosauria; Squamata; Lacertidae
Source: Ensembl
AUGGGGCAGAAACUCACGCAGGUCACAAUAGGGGUCCCUCGGGUAUUUAAGGCGGGGGCCCUGCCACCUAGGACCCACUUUGCCCGGGGCCGGGAGGCACUGCCCAGCAAAACGCGGCCGAACCGGGCACCCAGAAACACCCUUUCUUGGACCAAGAAAGGGGGCAUACGGAACUGCCUUUCUCCGCUCUCAUUCUCCAUCCCCUCUUUCUGCGCCAUCAGCAAGCGCCGCCUUAGAUAUCGGCGGAAAAUGACUCCCAGUGGCAAGAGCUCAACCCUUACCCAACGUGAGAGUUUGAGUAUCCGGCCCCGCUACUGCCCGCAGUGCUCCUGAGUUCGUGGGCGGCUGCCCAGACAGGAGAAGGAGCCUUGAAGGAGGCCAAGCGGGCCUUAAAGAGGUAUAUAAGGUAGGCUUCUUCUGCCUCGGGCCUUUCCGGCCUUGCAUAUGAUCAUUAUUUAUUAUUAUUAUUAUUAGAAAGUUUAUUACGGUCCAGAGACCCAACAAAUCCUUACAAAGAAAUGCACAAUUCAGACAGCCUACCUCCAGGUUAAACAAGCAUUUUGUUCAAAAGAUAGGGAUCAUUGGUUCUUGCAACCACCGAUAAAAAAUUUGCCACUGCUAAUGUUCUAGCGUUUGUCCGGUCUUCCAAUAGGAACCUGACAUAGUGAGCCUCUGAUUUUCCCGGGAAAGGUACCAGCAAGGGUAAUAUCAGUUCAGCCCUGGCUUGCUCAUAUUUUGCACAGUGCAGCAAAAUGUGUUUUAUGGAAUUGAUGUCUUGAGCACACGAGCAAAGUUUGUCCUGGUAGGGAACUCCUCUCCACCUGCCCUCCAACACUGCAGAAGGAAAAGCGUUUAGUCUGGCUUUGGUGAAAAGCCUUUGAUAAUUUGAUACUGUCAGGUUUUUAAUGUAAGAUGUUAACUUAAAGACAUGCCCAUAUUGUACUCCUACUGCCAGCGGACUACAGACUGUGUGUGAUUGAGAUCGCAAGUCACUGUGUGCAUUAUCCCAUAAUCUUUGCUUUAACGUCUUUAGGGCGCCUUCAUAACCCAGGUAAUACAGUUGGGGGGGGGGAACAGACCAAUAGAGGUGGCUUUUUUAGCCAUGGUUUUCUGCCAUUUGCUGACAAAUUCCUCAUUGGUCAGGUGUUGGUACAAACCCUUCCCUAGAUCAAACACUGAAAUCCUGAGCCAAUGUUUUAGGGCAGCCUACCACGCUUUACUUGAAAUUGGGCACUCACCAGCUUCUAACAGAAGUACGGAGUUGGGGACACAGUUGGGUACCUGGAGCAGAGAUUGUAGAAAUUUUGCCUGAAAGCUAUCUAGGUUAGGCAGGUCCCCAUUAUGCCAGACAUUUGCAGCGUACAGGAAUUGGGAAAUGGAUUUUGAAAACCCUUAAGGCUGCUGGAACGUAUUUGCCGCCCUUUGUGCUAUAAUAGACCACCAUCUGCUUGCACGAUGCUGUACAAAAGUGCACAGAAAGGGUCUCAGCCCCAAUGAGCUUACAAUCUGAAAUUUGACAACAGGGCUCCCCCCCCCCAUUAUAUAUCUACCCCACUGUUUUUCUCCAAGGAGCUGAAGGUAGCAUACACAGUUUGCCCCACCCCCAACCUCAGGGAAAUAUCCUGUG